GAUCGGCUUUAGGGGUAUUCUGAAAAGAAUUGAGAGAGUCCCUUUGAACCUGAUCCGGUUGAUACUGGCGUAGGGAAAAGCGUUUGCUAUAUU
This 93-nucleotide non-coding RNA is filed under the name Sphingobacterium spiritivorum. Its description in RNAcentral is "Sphingobacterium sp. TPP sequence". It matches the Rfam family "TPP riboswitch aptamer (THI element)". Rfam says of the family: Vitamin B(1) in its active form thiamin pyrophosphate (TPP) is an essential coenzyme that is synthesised by coupling of pyrimidine and thiazole moieties in bacteria. The previously detected thiamin-regulatory element, thi box was extended, resulting in a new, highly conserved RNA secondary structure, the THI element, which is widely distributed in eubacteria and also occurs in some archaea. RNAcentral also lists the same sequence under 1 other name. Lineage: Bacteria; Pseudomonadati; Bacteroidota; Sphingobacteriia; Sphingobacteriales; Sphingobacteriaceae. The record is from RNAcentral.